This 316-nucleotide unclassified non-coding RNA is filed under the name uncultured Tomentella. RNAcentral describes it as "sequence contains 5.8S rRNA gene". Lineage: Eukaryota; Fungi; Basidiomycota; Agaricomycetes; Thelephorales; Thelephoraceae. The record is from RNAcentral.
GAACGCACCUUGCGCCCUUUGGCUAUUCUGAAGGGCAUGCCUGUUUGAGUAUCAUGAACACCUCAACUCUCGUGGCCCGCCACGAUGAGCUUGGACUUUGGGGGUCUUGCCGGCCUAGCGUCGGCUCCUCUCAAAUGGAUCAGCUUGCCAGUGUUUGGUGGCGUCACAGGUGUGAUAACUAUCUACGCUUGUGGUUUUCUACCAUGUAACCUUCAGUGAUGGAGGUUCGCUGGGGCUCACAGAUGUCUCUCCUUGGGGAGGACAGCUUUUUGAACGUUUGAUCUCAAAUCAGGUAGGACUACCCGCUGAACUUAAG